UGUGGGAGCUGGCUUGCCUGCGAUGCAGACAACUCGGUUUUUCAGAUGCACCGAGGCGAUGCCAUCGCAGGCAAGCCAGCUCCCACA
Molecule: unclassified non-coding RNA, 87 nt
Filed under: Pseudomonas yamanorum
Lineage: Bacteria; Pseudomonadati; Pseudomonadota; Gammaproteobacteria; Pseudomonadales; Pseudomonadaceae
Source: RNAcentral